CGUGCGCCUUCGCCGAAUCCCUCGGGCACAGCUCCACCUGAUCCACCAGCGGUAUCUGGGAACCGGGGAACCACCAACCCUGGGGUGAAUCGGGCCGCACUCCGGCCCGUAGGAGACCUUCCUGCUCCGAACCCGUCAGCUAACCCGGUAGGCGAGAAGGAAGGAAAGG
This 169-nucleotide small RNA is filed under the name Streptomyces albireticuli. RNAcentral describes it as "c-di-AMP sequence". The stretch from base 25 to 169 matches the Rfam family "c-di-AMP riboswitch aptamer (ydaO/yuaA leader)". Rfam says of the family: This family represents a conserved RNA structure found upstream of the ydaO and yuaA genes in Bacillus subtilis and related genes in other bacteria. The ydaO/yuaA element is thought to act as a genetic "off" switch for the ydaO and yuaA genes in its native state. It is believed that the element may be triggered during osmotic shock leading to activation of ydaO, a predicted amino acid transporter gene, and members of the yuaA-yubG operon which code for KtrA and KtrB K+ transporters. The record is from RNAcentral. Lineage: Bacteria; Bacillati; Actinomycetota; Actinomycetes; Kitasatosporales; Streptomycetaceae.